This is a non-coding RNA of Erythranthe guttata (spotted monkey flower), 548 nucleotides long. NCBI's taxonomy places the organism in Eukaryota, Viridiplantae, Streptophyta, Magnoliopsida, Lamiales, Phrymaceae. The record is from RefSeq and is a predicted model, not a curated record.
ACAAUGUAGAGGAUUUAUGUGUCCGGUCACUGUCCUCGUGCCUUUUCAUUAUUGUUGACAGAGUUAAAUAUGAACAACAUUUCAAGGAAUAUGUGGAAGCAAUAUGUACAAGUCUUGUUACUACAUACGACAAAUUGUUGUCUCCGUGAGAUAAUUAUACGUUGAAGUAGACCAGAGUGAAGAUCUAAUAAUUCUACAAGAUAUUGUAUUUUCGAUUACGAAAAACUUUCAUGCAUGGAGGGGAGAGGAUACGGCAAGUUUGACAGUAAUGAAUUAGUUUAGCCUUAUAUCUCGUACUACGUUUUGGGCAAUUCGGUUUUGACUUGAUUAAAAUGUGGAUGAUUUUGUGACUGUAUAAAGUCUUGUAUUUUGUUUGUCUGACAAUCGAUAAGUAUUCUAUUUAUUUUUUAGAACGUUUCUCAAAAUUGUUGAAUGUCUAUUACUGUGUAUUUUGAAGGAGUUUGUGCAUUGUUGACUAUGCGAUUAUAGAAUUGUUGGAUAGUUUUUUAUUUAAAGGAUUUUUGUGUAUAUUGGAUUGAAAUUUAUUG